This 28-nucleotide small RNA is filed under the name Bombyx mori (domestic silkworm). Its description in RNAcentral is "ovarian small RNA-37013". Lineage: Eukaryota; Metazoa; Arthropoda; Insecta; Lepidoptera; Bombycidae. The record is from RNAcentral.
UUCACUUGUGGCGUUGUUGAAGCUCUGC